Molecule: long non-coding RNA, 358 nt
Filed under: Jatropha curcas
Lineage: Eukaryota; Viridiplantae; Streptophyta; Magnoliopsida; Malpighiales; Euphorbiaceae
Description: long non-coding RNA (JCUR_LNC002071)
Source: RNAcentral
AAACCGGCGGCGGUGAUAAUGGCGGCAACACCACCGGAAGUAGAAGAAGAGUUAGAGCCAGUAGAACCAUAAUAAUAAUCGACUUCAACAUCAAAUGGUUUCACAUAAAUAACCGGCCACCAUAAACUUGCAUCCUUAAAAACCCUUUUAACCGUUGGAUGAUGAUCAUGAUAACCAAAAGGCAAUUUUUUGAUGAUGAUCAUAAGGGAAGUUAGUAUUAUCCAUUUUUGUUGCAGCGGAGCAUUACUGUUCUUUGGUGUUGGAAAAUAUGGAGUUGAAAGAAGAAGAAGAAGAAGACAAGUGGGUUUGUGUCUUGUAUUUGAAAAAGUAGAUAUGAAAAAGUAGACAAGUGGGUUUG